RNAcentral lists this unclassified non-coding RNA (300 nucleotides) under uncultured Cladochytriales. RNAcentral's name for it is "sequence contains 5.8S rRNA gene, ITS2, 28S rRNA gene". Lineage: Eukaryota; Fungi; Chytridiomycota; Chytridiomycetes; Cladochytriales. The record is from RNAcentral.
AACGCAUCUUGCGCCCUUUGGGGCAUGCCUGUUUGAGUAUCAUUUAAAUUCUCACCCCUUCGAUUCUAGUUUCGGCUAGAGUUGAUGGUGGUGGAUCAAUGAGGUUCCAGUUCUAACGAGUUGGUGCCUUGAAAGUUAGCGACCUUGGUUUGGGUUCAUGCUUGAAACCAUCUCGAAGCGAGAAUCUCGUAUUCUUGGGAUUUGGUUGAGUGAACUUUGUUUUUAAGCCGGUCACCAAGCAGGGGACGAGGUCCUCUUCAUCUUGGUCUCAAAUCAGGCAAGACUACCCGCUGAACUUAA